RNAcentral lists this ribosomal RNA (497 nucleotides) under uncultured bacterium. RNAcentral describes it as "partial 16S ribosomal RNA". It matches the Rfam family "Bacterial small subunit ribosomal RNA", at positions 28 to 507 of the family's 1533-position model. The record is from RNAcentral.
GAUGAACGCUGGCGGCGUGCCUAAUACAUGCAAGUCGAGCGAACGGACGAGAAGCUUGCUUCUCUGAUGUUAGCGGCGGACGGGUGAGUAACACGUGGAUAACCUACCUAUAAGACUGGGAUAACUUCGGGAAACCGGAGCUAAUACCGGAUAAUAUUUUGAACCGCAUGGUUCAAAAGUGAAAGACGGUCUUGCUGUCACUUAUAGAUGGAUCCGCGCUGCAUUAGCUAGUUGGUAAGGUAACGGCUUACCAAGGCAACGAUGCAUAGCCGACCUGAGAGGGUGAUCGGCCACACUGGAACUGAGACACGGUCCAGACUCCUACGGGAGGCAGCAGUAGGGAAUCUUCCGCAAUGGGCGAAAGCCUGACGGGGCAACGCCGCGUGAGUGUUGAAGGUCUUCGGAUCGUAAAACUCUGUUAUUAGGGAAGAACAUAUGUGUAAGUAACUGUGCACAUCUUGACGGUACCUAAUCAGAAAGCCACGGCUAACUACGUG